This 383-nucleotide ribosomal RNA is filed under the name uncultured cyanobacterium. RNAcentral describes it as "bacterial SSU rRNA". It matches the Rfam family "Bacterial small subunit ribosomal RNA", at positions 397 to 795 of the family's 1533-position model. The record is from RNAcentral. Lineage: Bacteria; Bacillati; Cyanobacteriota.
CCGCGUGAGGGAUGAAGGCCUUUGGGCUGUAAACCUCUUUUCUCAAGGAAGAAGUCCUGACGGUACCUGAGGAAUAAGCCCCGGCUAAUUCCGUGCCAGCAGCCGCGGUAAUACGGGAGUGGCAAGCGUUAUCCGGAAUUAUUGGGCGUAAAGCGUCCGCAGGCGGCCGUUUAAGUCUGUUGUUAAAUCGUGGAGCUCAACUCCAUCACGGCAAUGGAAACUGUUCGGCUUGAGUAUGGUAGGGGCAGAGGGAAUUUCCGGUGUAGCGGUGAAAUGCGUAGAUAUCGGGAAGAACACCAGUGGCAAAAGCGCUUUGCUGGGCCAUUACUGACGCUCAUGGGCGAAAGCCAGGGGAGCGAAAGGGAUUAGAUACCCUGGUAGUC